Molecule: microRNA precursor, 191 nt
Filed under: Oryza brachyantha (malo sina)
Lineage: Eukaryota; Viridiplantae; Streptophyta; Magnoliopsida; Poales; Poaceae
Description: MIR812 microRNA precursor family
Rfam family: MIR812 microRNA precursor family
Source: Rfam by way of RNAcentral
AAUAAACCAAUUUUUCACUUUUUACAUUUAAUUUUUGACUCUUCGUCUUAUUCAAAAAUUUUUUGCGAUUGAUAUUUUUGUUUUUAUUAGAUGAUAAAUCAUGAAUAGUAUUUUACGUGGGACUAAUUUUUUAAAAUAUUUUCAAAUAAGAUAGAUGGUCCAACGUUGGACACGGAAACCGGACAAUUAUA